This 465-nucleotide ribosomal RNA is filed under the name Erronea cylindrica. Its description in RNAcentral is "partial 16S large subunit ribosomal RNA". It matches the Rfam family "Bacterial large subunit ribosomal RNA", at positions 1850 to 2577 of the family's 2925-position model. The record is from RNAcentral. Lineage: Eukaryota; Metazoa; Mollusca; Gastropoda; Littorinimorpha; Cypraeidae.
GAGUCGGACCUGCCCAGUGAAUAUAUUUUAACGGCCGCGGUACUCUGACCGUGCAAAGGUAGCAUAAUCAUUUGCCCUAUAAUUGAGGGCUAGUAUGAAUGGUUUGACGUGAACAAAGCUGUCUCUAUGUAAUUUUUUAGAAUUUGAUUUCUAGGUGAGGAAACCUAGAUUUAAUUGAAAGACAAGAAGACCCUAUUGAGCUUUAAAAGAGUAAAUUGAAAACAAUAUAUAAUUUUAAAUAUUAAUCUAUUUUAGAUUUUGGUUGGGGCGACUAUGGAACAAAUAAAGCUUCUUUAUUAAACAAUAAGACUUACAAGUGUUGAUCCAGAAAUUUUGAUCAAUGAAAUUAGUUACCAUAGGGAUAACAGCAUAAUUCUCUUUGAGAGUCCUUAUCGAAAAGAGAGUUUGUGACCUCGAUGUUGGACUAGAAUAUCCUAAAGAUGCAGCAGUCUUUAAGGGUUNGUC